Long non-coding RNA from Columba livia (rock pigeon), 414 nucleotides. RefSeq lists it as uncharacterized. The record is from RefSeq and is a predicted model, not a curated record. The transcript has 4 exons. NCBI's taxonomy places the organism in Eukaryota, Metazoa, Chordata, Aves, Columbiformes, Columbidae.
CGGGUGCUGCAGUGGAUGUCACCAGUGAAGCACAGCAGUGGUUGAAGAGUUAUUUGGGGUGCACUGAGCAGCAGUGUCCCCACUCAGGGCUGCAUCUCGCCUCUGACCACAUCUAGCCAGGAAGGACAUUGUCCCUACAGAAUGGGCACAAAAUUAAAAUUCUACUACUCACCCUGUUCUGGUUGCCUACAGCAUCUGGAUGCUAUCAAUGUGGGCAGCAGAGCAGCCCUGUCACACAGGAUUAAUGGCAGAGUGUGGUGUCGCUUAUGGAAGCAAAGAUGAGAAUGUAUCAGGAAGCCACAGGACUCCUCAAGAAAUGCAUCGUGAGGUUUAAAACUUAGUGUACAAUGAAGGAAAGUAUCACAUUAAAAUGAAGCCUUCUGUUUCUAAUUAAGAGAUAAAUUAGAUGUGUGC